RNAcentral lists this ribosomal RNA (498 nucleotides) under uncultured Pseudonocardia sp. Its description in RNAcentral is "partial 16S ribosomal RNA". It matches the Rfam family "Bacterial small subunit ribosomal RNA", at positions 9 to 527 of the family's 1533-position model. The record is from RNAcentral. Lineage: Bacteria; Bacillati; Actinomycetota; Actinomycetes; Pseudonocardiales; Pseudonocardiaceae.
GAGUMMMAUCAUGGCUYAGGACGARCGCUGGCGGCGUGCCUWACACAUGCAAGUCGAACGGGGGUWGCAAUWCCUCAGUGGCGAACGGGUGCGUWACMCGUGRARAACUUGUCCMUYSGCSGGGGRUUASCCGGCCCAACGGCCGGGUAAUACCGCGUACGCUUGUCGGAUGGCAUCACCUGACAAGGAAAGCAGCAAUGCACCGAUGGAGAGCUUCGCGGCCUAUCAGCUAGUUGGCGGGGUCAAGGCCCACCAAGGCGACGACGGGUAGCUGGUCUGAGAGGAUGGCCAGCCACAUUUGGGACUGAGACACGGCCCAGACUCCUACGGGAGGCAGCAGUGGGGAAUAUUGCGCAAUGGGCGAAAGCCUGACGCAGCGACGCCGCGUGCGGGAUGAAGGCCUUCGGGUCGUAAACCGCUGUCGCGAGGGACGAAACAAAUGACGGUACCUCGAAAGGAAGCACCGGCUAACUCUGUGCCAGCCGCCGCAGUAAUUCA